Molecule: ribosomal RNA, 468 nt
Filed under: uncultured bacterium
Lineage: Bacteria
Description: partial 16S ribosomal RNA
Rfam family: Bacterial small subunit ribosomal RNA
Source: RNAcentral
GACGAACGCUGGCGGCGUGCUUAACACAUGCAAGUCGAACGGAAAGGCCCUGCGUUUGUUGGGUGCUCGAGUGGCGAAGGGGUGAGUAACACGUGAGUAACCUGUCCUUGACUUUGGGAUAUCUUCAGGAAACUGGGGCUAAUACCGGAUAUGAGCUCCUGCUGCAUGGUGGGGGUUGGAAAAUUUCGGCGGUUGGGGCUUGAUUAGCGGCUUAUCAGCUUGUUGGUGGGGUAGGGGCUUACCAAGGCUUUGACGGGUAGCCGGCCUGAGAGGGUUACCGGCCACAUUGGGACUGAGAUACGGCCCAGACUCCUACGGGAGGCAGCAGUGGGGAAUAUUGCACAAUGGGCGGAAGCCUGAUGCAGCAACGCCGCGUGCGGGAUGACGGCCUUCGGGUUGUAAACCGCUUUCGCCUGUGACGAAGCGUGAGUGACGGUAAUGGGUAAAGAAGCACCGGCUAACUACGUG